UCUUCCUUCAGUCAGCAUCUGGUGCGUAUCAGAAGGCCUCCAGCUACUUAAAUGACCUCAUGAAUUAUGCAGAGAGCUAUCUUCCAACAUUUUCUCUUCCUAAAAUUACAAAGCUAGCUUGUGAAGAAAUCACCAUGAGAGCGAGUGGAACUGGAGCUAGCAAAUUUAAUGCGGCACAAAAUAAACAUGAAGUGAUCUUUCAAGUAAGAUUGUUUAAUUGAUGGUAAGGACAAUUGGAUAGGUAUUAGUAAUGAUACCAGUUAACAGUAUCUUCAAGUGCAUGAACUUGCAAAUAAUUAGGCGUUUCCCUGCAACAUAUAUAUCAUAAGAAACUUCAUCACAAACUUACAAACCUCAACAUUUGUAAACAGCUCUGCAAGUUCUGCACACAAGCCAGUAUGAUCUUCUGCCCUCUGCUAUCCAAGAUAACGUAAAGAAUCUAGAAAACAAACUUCAUUCAAUACUGACCACAAUGAAGACAUACUUGUCUUCUUUAGUUGUAAGUCUUUAUCUGUUCCAUCACAAACAAAUAAAUGAAGCUAGCGUUUUUUACUUUCUUGGUGCAGUAAACCCUUUCUUACUCAAAAUCUCCUUUUGU
Molecule: unclassified non-coding RNA, 598 nt
Filed under: Hevea brasiliensis (rubber tree)
Lineage: Eukaryota; Viridiplantae; Streptophyta; Magnoliopsida; Malpighiales; Euphorbiaceae
Source: RNAcentral